Molecule: ribosomal RNA, 3000 nt
Filed under: bacterium
Lineage: Bacteria
Description: 23S ribosomal RNA
Rfam family: Bacterial large subunit ribosomal RNA
Source: RNAcentral
GAUAAGCUACUAAGAGCGUACGGUGGAUGCCUUGGCGCCAGAAGCCGAUGAAGGACGCGGUAAGCUGCGAUAAGCCUCGGGGAAGCGCAAACAGCUUUUGAUCCGGGGAUUUCCGAAUGGGGCAACCCGCCAUGAUUUCAUGGCGCGGCGCGCUGAAUCCAUAGGCGCGCCGAGGGAACCAGGGGAAGUGAAACAUCUCAGUACCCUGAGGAAGAGAAAUCAACCGAGAUUCCGCUAGUAGUGGCGAGCGAACGCGGAACAGCCCAAACCGAUUGUCUGUAAGCCUGCUUGCGUUGGACAGUCGGGGUUGUGGGGCGGACCAUGGGAGAAGGGCAGUUUUCCCGUCUGUGUGGGUCGUGAAGCCGAACAGUCCUGGAAAGGCUGGUCACAGAAGGUGACAACCCUGUAGGCGUAAGCGAUUCGUGCGGAUCGGUUCGUUCCCGAGUAGCGCGAGACACGAGAAACCUCGCGUGAAACCGGGGAGACCACUCUCCAAGGCUAAAUACUCUCUGGCGACCGAUAGUGAACCAGUACCGUGAGGGAAAGGUGAAAAGCACCCUAGUAAAGGGAGUGAAAUAGUACCUGAAACCGUACGUUUACAACCAGUCGAAGCACGUGCGCCAUCCGCAAGGACGGCCGUGCGACGGCGUGCCUUUUGCAUAAUGAUCCGGCGAGUUGCGUUCCGUCGCAAGGUUAAGGACCUCAGGUCCGGAGCCGCAGCGAAAGCGAGUCCGAACAGGGCGACCAGUGGCGGUGCGCAGACCCGAAGCGGGAUGAUCUAACCAUGGCCAGGGCGAAACUGGGGUAACACCCAUUGGAGGCCCGAACUACUAUACCUUAAAAAGUAUUUGGAUGAGCUGUGGUUAGGGGUGAAAGGCUAAUCAAAUUCCGUGAUAGCUGGUUCUCCUCGAAAUGUUUUUAGGAACAGCCUCGCGUGGUUCGUCCUGGCGGUAGAGCACUGAAUGGACUAGGGGCCCAACAAGGUUACCGAACCCAAUCAAACUCCGAACACCAUGACGCAAAGCGCGGGAGUGAGACUGCGGAUGCUAAGACCCGCGGUCGAAAGGGAAACAGCCCAGACCCACAGCUAAGGUCCCUAAGACUGGCUAAGUGUGAAAGGUUGUGGAGUUUCAUAGACAACCAGGAGGUUGGCUUAGAAGCAGCCAUUCCUUUAAAGAGUGCGUAACAGCUCACUGGUCAAGCGAUUCCGCGCCGAAGAUCCAAGGGGGCUCAAGCCAGCCACCGAAGCUUGGGAAUUUUAUCGCAAGAUAGAGUUGGUAGAGGAGCAUUCCAUGGGAGACACACGGCAGACCGGCAAGGGCUGCUAUCGGUCCAUGGAAGAGAGUAUGCCGGAAUCAGUAACGACAAAACGGGUGAAAAACCCGUUCGCCGCAAGUCUAAGAUUUCCUGGGCGAUGCUAAUCAUCCCAGGGUGAGCCGGGCCCUAAGCCGAGGCCGAAAGGCGUAGGCGAUGGAAAGCUGGUAAAAAUUCCAGCGCCACGGCGCGCGCGUGAUGGGGGGACGCUGUUGAGAAGCUCUACACACUGACGGACGUGUGUGGCGAAACCUGUAGGGUGGGCCGCAGGCAAAUCCACGGCCCUUUAACCCAAGAGGAAUCGGGAAGGCGGCCUUCGGGCCAACCAACUGAGUCACAUCAGCAGCCAAGAAAAGCCUCUAAGCAUAGCGCGUCGUGCCCGUAUCGCAAUCCGACACAGGUAGACGAGGCGAGUAGCCUCAGGCGCUCGAGAUAACUUGGGUUAAGGAACUCGGCAAAAUGGCCUCGUAACUUCGGAAGAAGAGGCGCCUCUGCGCGUGUACCGGUUCGCCCGGGAAGCGCGCGGGGGCCGCAGUGAAAAGGUCCAGGCGACUGUUUAGCAAAAACACAGCACUCUGCCAAGUCGUAAGACGACGUAUAGGGUGUGACGCCUGCCCAGUGCCGGACGGUUAAAGGAAGGUGUUAGUCCGCAAGGGCGAAGCUCCUGACUGAAGCCCCGGUAAACGGCGGCCGUAACUAUAACGGUCCUAAGGUAGCGAAAUUCCUUGUCGGGUAAGUUCCGACCCGCACGAAUGGCGUAACGAUCUGGACGCUGUCACAACCCAAGGCUCGGUGAAGUUGAGUUACCGGUGAAGACGCCGGUUACCCGCAGUUGGACGGAAAGACCCUGUGAACCUUUACUAUAGCCUGAUAUUGUCUUUCGAUCACUCAUGUAGAGGAUAGGUGGGAGGCUACGAAGCGGGAGCGCCAGCUUCCGUGGAGCCAACCUUGGAAUACCACCCUUGUGUGCUUGAAAGACUAACCAGGGCCCGUGAAUCCGGGUCUGGAACAGUGUCAGGUGGGUAGUUUGACUGGGGCGGUCGCCUCCAAAAGUGUAACGGAGGCGCACGAAGGUUCCCUCAGCACGGUCGGCAAUCGUGCGUAGAGCGUAUUGGCAGAAGGGAGCUUGACUGCGAGACCCACACGUCGAGCAGGUGCGAAAGCAGGUCAAAGUGAUCCGGCGGUUCCUUGUGGAAGGGCCGUCGCUCAUCGGAUAAAAGGUACUCCGGGGAUAACAGGCUGAUAGCGCCCAAGCGUCCACAGCGACGGCGCUGUUUGGCACCUCGAUGUCGGCUCACCACAUCCUGGGGCUGUAUUCGGUCCCAAGGGUUCGGCUGUUCGCCGAUUAAAGUGGUACGUGAGCUGGGUUCAGAACGUCGUGAGACAGUUCGGUCCCUAUCCGCUGCGGGCGCAGGAAAGCUGAGGAAAGCUGUCCCUAGUACGAGAGGACCGGGACGGACGAACCUAUGGUGUGCCGGUUGUCCUGCCAAGGGCAUUGCCGGGUAGCUAUGUUCGGACCGGAUAACCGCUGAAGGCAUCUAAGCGGGAAGCCGCAUCCAAGAUAAGCUUUCCCAGUCCGAAAGGACUCUAAAGACCCCCGGAAGACUACCGGGUUGAUAGGCGGGAAAUGGAAGCGCAGCAAUGCGUGGAGUUGACCCGUACUAAUCGGUCGUGAGGCUUUUCGUC